AAAGGAAUAGACGGGGGCCCGCACAAGCGGAGGAGCAUGUGGCUUAAUUCGAUGCAACGCGAAGAACCUUACCCAGGCUUGACAUGCGGCUGCACGCCCGGCGAAAGCCGGGUUCCUUCGAGGGUGCCGCACAGGUGCUGCAUGGCUGUCGUCAGUUCGUGCCGUGAGGUGUUUGGUUAAGUCCACCAACGAACGCAACCCCUGUGUCCGGUUGCCAGCGGAUAGCGCCGGGGACUCUGGACAGACUGCCCGUUCACACGGGAGGAAGGUGGGGAUGACGUCAAGUCAGUAUGGCCCUUACGCCUGGGGCCGCACACGUGCUACAAGGGCCGGCACAGAGGGACGCCAAGCCGCGAGGCGGAGCAAAUCCCCAAAACCGGCCCCAGUUCGGAUUGCGGUCUGCAACUCGACCGCAUGAAGUUGGAUUCGCUAGUAACGGCGCAUCAGCUACGGCGCCGUGAAUACGUUCCCGGGCCUUGUACACACCGCCCGU
Molecule: ribosomal RNA, 493 nt
Filed under: uncultured bacterium
Lineage: Bacteria
Description: bacterial SSU rRNA
Rfam family: Bacterial small subunit ribosomal RNA
Source: RNAcentral